GUAUAUAUAGCUCAAGUGGUAGAGCAUGUGCUUAGCAUGCACAGGGUCCUGGGUUCAAUCCCCUGCACCUCCA
This 73-nucleotide transfer RNA is filed under the name Camelus bactrianus (Bactrian camel). It matches the Rfam family "tRNA". From Rfam's summary of the family: Transfer RNA (tRNA) molecules are approximately 80 nucleotides in length. Their secondary structure includes four short double-helical elements and three loops (D, anti-codon, and T loops). Further hydrogen bonds mediate the characteristic L-shaped molecular structure. tRNAs have two regions of fundamental functional importance: the anti-codon, which is responsible for specific mRNA codon recognition, and the 3' end, to which the tRNAs corresponding amino acid is attached (by aminoacyl-tRNA synthetases). tRNAs cope with the degeneracy of the genetic code in two manners: having more than one tRNA (with a specific anti-codon) for a particular amino acid; and 'wobble' base-pairing, i.e. permitting non-standard base-pairing at the 3rd anti-codon position. Lineage: Eukaryota; Metazoa; Chordata; Mammalia; Artiodactyla; Camelidae. RNAcentral also lists the same sequence under 2 other names. The record is from Rfam by way of RNAcentral.